RNAcentral lists this ribosomal RNA (382 nucleotides) under uncultured bacterium. RNAcentral describes it as "bacterial SSU rRNA". It matches the Rfam family "Bacterial small subunit ribosomal RNA", at positions 790 to 1167 of the family's 1533-position model. The record is from RNAcentral.
GUAGUCCUAGCCGUAAACGGUGCGCAUUAGAGGUGGGAGGAUUCGACCCCUUCCGUCUUGCAGCUAACGCGUUAAAUGCGCCGCCUGGGGAGUACGGUCGCAAGAUUAAAACUCAAAGAAAUUGACGGGGGCCCGCACAAGCGGUGGAGCAUGUGGCUUAAUUCGAUGCAACGCGAAGAACCUUACCUGGCCUUGACAUGUACGUAGUAGAAGGAUGAAAGUCUAACGAGAUAGCAAUAUCAGCGUACACAGGUGCUGCAUGGCUGUCGUCAGCUCGUGCCGUGAGGUGUUCGGUUAAGUCCGGUAACGAGCGCAACCCCUAUGACUUGUUGCUAAUCCAGCAAUGGAAGCACUCUAGUCAGACUGCCCUGCAUAACGGGGA